This 1764-nucleotide long non-coding RNA is filed under the name Salmo salar (Atlantic salmon). RNAcentral's name for it is "lncRNA (ENSSSAG00000086886.1)". Lineage: Eukaryota; Metazoa; Chordata; Actinopteri; Salmoniformes; Salmonidae. The record is from RNAcentral.
GCUACGGUUCCCUUCAUGCUCAACACCAAGCUCAGAGCCCUGGGUCUGGACACAACCCUCUGCAACUGGAUCCUGGACUUCCUGACUGGCUGACCACAGGCUGUGAGGAUUGGCAACAACACCUUCUCCACACUGAUUGACGAACACAGGCACUAUGGUGCCAUUAAAGCAACCUCUCCCUCAAUGUCAGGAAAACAAAGGAGUUGGUUGUCGUAGCAACACACAUGCCCCACCCACUUGAGGAUCUGUCUUUUUCAGCCAUCUAUUUCCUGUGUUUGAGGGGUGCAAAAUUCACUUGUCACUUAAAUCUUGCUGGAUUGAUUGCUUUCAUUUUCUUCCUGCGAUUCUUUCAAACUCUUGCUUGUGCCUGUUGUGUUUUUCUCGUUAUUGUUACGACUGCGAAAAUGUUUGAAAUGACCUGUCAAACACACCCCAGUCAUGGCUGAAAUGGGAAAAAUGGAAAACAAUGUCUUUCCGUUGCAUCUAUAAGAACACGAAAGCUUCUUUGGAGAUUCAACACAUCAUCUUGACACAUACACUACCAUUCAAAAGUUUGGGGUCACUUAGAAAUGCCAGCGUCCCGGAGUCACCUCUUCACUGUUGAUGUUGAGACUGGUGUUUUGUGGGUAUUAUUUAAUGAAGCUUCCAGUUGAGGACUUGUGAGGCGUCUAUUUCUCAAACUAGACACUGUAAUGUACUUGUCCUCUUGCUCAGUUGUGCACUGGGGCUUCCCACUACUCUUUCUAUUCUGGUUAGAGCCAGUUUGCGCUGUUCUGUGAAGGGAGUAGUACAAGGCGUUGUACCAGAUCUUCAAUUUCUUUGCAAUUUCUCGCACGGAAUAUAGCCGUAAAUUGUUUCUGGCCAUUUUUAGCCUGUAAUCGAACCCACAAAUGCUGAUGCUCCAGACACUCAAUUAGUCUAAAGAAGGCCAGGUUUAUUGUUUCUUUAAUCAGAACAACAGUUUUCAGCUGUGCUAACAUAAUUGCAAAAGGGUUUUCUAAUGAUCAAUUAGCCUUUUAAAAUGAUAAACUUGGAUUAGCUGUCACGACUUCCGCCGAAGUCGGCUCCUCUCCUUGUUCGGGCGGCGUUCGGCGAUCGACGUCACCGGCUUUCUAGCCAUCGUCGCUCCAUUUUUCAUAUGUCCAUUUGUUACGUCUUGUUCCAUACACACCUGGUUUUCAUUCCCCAAUCAAUCUACAUGUAUUUAGUCCUCUGUUCCCCAUCAUGUCUUUGUGUGUAAUUGUUCAUUGUUAAUGGUGUAUGUUCACGGGCGAUACUUUUAUAGUUUAUGUUCCGUGUUUUUGGGCACUUAUGUCAUUUUUUGUGCCUAUUGUUGAAUGGAAUACAAUUGUGCCUGUUUACUCUACUCUGCUCUCCUGCACCUGACUUCGCCUCCCUUACACAGCCUUAACAUUAGCUAACACAACGUGACAUUGGAACACAGGAGUGAUGGUUGCUGAUAAUGGGCGUCUGUAUGCCUAUGUAGAUAUUCCAUAAAAUAUCUGCCGUUUCCAGCUACAAUAGUCAUUUACAACGUUAACAAUGUCUACACUGUAUUUCUGAUCAAUUUUAUUUUAUUGGAGAAAAAAAAUGUGCUUUUCUUUAAAAAACAUUGACAUUUCUAAUUGAACCCAAGCUUUUGAACGGUAGUGUAGUGUACAUCACAAGAAAGAGAAGAAAGAUAUCUUAAUUUUAAUGUGUGUUCAUUUUCGGUGGAAAAGUAAUAAUGUGGUACAGUUUAAAUGUUUACAAAUUAGAUGCACC